Molecule: ribosomal RNA, 305 nt
Filed under: uncultured bacterium
Lineage: Bacteria
Description: bacterial SSU rRNA
Rfam family: Bacterial small subunit ribosomal RNA
Source: RNAcentral
UUUGCCUACGGGACGCAGCAGUGAGGAAUAUUGGUCAAUGGGCGAGAGCCUGAACCAGCCAAGUCGCGUGAGGGAUGACUGCCCUAUGGGUUGUAAACCUCUUUUGUAUGGGGGGAAUAAGCUUUACGAGUAGAGUGAUGACAGUACCAUACGAAUAAGCAUCGGCUAACUCCGUGCCAGCAGCCGCGGUAAUACGGAGGAUGCGAGCGUUAUCCGGAUUUAUUGGGUUUAAAGGGUGCGUAGGCGGAUUUUUAAGUCAGCGGUAAAAUGUCCGGGCUCAACCCGGGCCGGCCGUUGAAACUGGG